CCCAAAUUUGCUGGGCCCAUUGUCCAAAUAAAAUAAAAUACAACAAACCCAAAAUUCAAUCCCAACUACCCAAACCUUAAGCCCAAAAUAAUCAGCCCACAAACUUAAAAUUUCAGUAGCAAACCCUAGCUGGCCGCCGCAUGCCUUACGUGGCCUCCUCGUCUGCCACGCCUUUAGCCCACGCCUCCACUCGCACGCCUCUGCCACCACUGUCGGCCACGGGCACCUGCAAAGCCAACAAGUAGACGCAACAACAAAGAAAAAAUAAAAUAAAAAAAAAACAAAAUAGAGAAAAGCAUUGGUAGUCGGGUUAUAAAAACCCCAAGCACUGCUCAUGUAUUUUUUUCUUCUUCGUUUUUGGGAUGAACAGAGAAAAUCAGAAAGAAACACAGAAAUUUUGAAAGGAUUGAAUCCUUGUUAUUUCUUCUUCGUUUUCCUUUUUUAUUUAUUUACUUGUUUUAUCUUACAUUUUUUCUUCUUUUGCAAAUCUAUUUUUUAAUAACUAUAAUAAAAAAAAUCAAAAGCAAAAUAAGGAGAAGAGAAAUUCACCGGAGUUGGCCGUGACCACGCCGCCGGGGGGUUUCUCCUUCAUCGUCGGCCACCGGUCUUUGUGGCUGUGGCGGUGGCGCUCCAAGUGCUAAGAAACCCAAGGGUUGGGUGCUUGAAAGAAAAGGGGAAAAGGUUUUUGAAACUAAGAAAGGGACAGAGGCUAG
Molecule: long non-coding RNA, 713 nt
Filed under: Gossypium raimondii (Peruvian cotton)
Lineage: Eukaryota; Viridiplantae; Streptophyta; Magnoliopsida; Malvales; Malvaceae
Description: long non-coding RNA (GRAI_LNC003568)
Source: RNAcentral